RNAcentral lists this ribosomal RNA (467 nucleotides) under uncultured bacterium. RNAcentral describes it as "bacterial SSU rRNA". It matches the Rfam family "Bacterial small subunit ribosomal RNA", at positions 337 to 796 of the family's 1533-position model. The record is from RNAcentral.
UCCUACGGGAGGCAGCAGUGGGGAAUAUUGCGCAAUGGGGGGAACCCUGACGCAGCCAUGCCGCGUGAAUGAAGAAGGCCUUCGGGUUGUAAAGUUCUUUCGGUAAUGAGGAGGGGAUGUUGUUAAAUAGAUAGCAUCAUUGACGUUAAUUACAGAAGAAGCACCGGCUAACUCCGUGCCAGCAGCCGCGGUAAUACGGAGGGUGCGAGCGUUAAUCGGAAUAACUGGGCGUAAAGGGCACGCAGGCGGACUUUUAAGUGAGAUGUGAAAUCCCCGAGCUUAACUUGGGAACUGCAUUUCAGACUGGGAGUCUAGAGUACUUUAGGGAGGGGUAGAAUUCCACGUGUAGCGGUGAAAUGCGUAGAGAUGUGGAGGAAUACCGAAGGCGAAGGCAGCCCCUUGGGAAUGUACUGACGCUCAUGUGCGAAAGCGUGGGGAGCAAACAGGAUUAGAUACCCUGGUAGUCC